Molecule: unclassified non-coding RNA, 284 nt
Organism: Mesocricetus auratus (golden hamster)
Lineage: Eukaryota; Metazoa; Chordata; Mammalia; Rodentia; Cricetidae
Gene: 7SK
Rfam family: 7SK RNA
About the family: 7SK was discovered as an abundant small nuclear RNA in the mid-70s but a possible function has only recently been suggested. Two independent studies have found that 7SK RNA binds the CDK9/cyclin T complex (known as elongation factor P-TEFb).
Source: Ensembl
AGAGGUGAGGAUGACCUGGCUGCCUAGGCAGGAGUAACUUUCCUUCUUCACCAUCCCAUGUGUGUCCCUCCCAAAGCUGCAUGCUUGGUCAAAGGUGACCUUCCCUGAUGGAGCAGGUCCAGUCGUGGUCAAGGAUGCAUGAGGAGCUCCACUCUGCUAGAAGCUCUACACAAGCACUCAAGGAAUUUCUGUUGCUCGUCUUGGUGGUGAAUGACUUUAAUCCUCGUAUUCAUGAGGCAGAGGCAGGUAGAUCCCUGUGAACUGUAGGUCAGCCUGGUCUACAU